RNAcentral lists this ribosomal RNA (119 nucleotides) under Hucho hucho (huchen). Lineage: Eukaryota; Metazoa; Chordata; Actinopteri; Salmoniformes; Salmonidae. The record is from RNAcentral.
GCUUACGGCCAUACCAGCCUGAAAGCGCCCGAUCUCGUCAGAUCUCGGAAGCUAAGCAAGGUCGGGCCUGGUUAGUACUUGGAUGCGAGACUUCCUGGGAAUACCAGGUGCUGUAAGCA